UGCUAGCAAAGAGUGUCUGAGGGAAACGCUAAGGAAACACAGACCCUAGAGGAAGCAGAAAAAAGCAAAGUUGACAGAAUGUCUUCGUAUCGAUCUACCUUUUCUUGUAUCUGCUUUUUCUUUUCUCUACAGGCCCCUCCCCAUCUCCAAUUUGAAUAUAAACUCCAGAAGAACCAUGUUUUGGUCAUCAGUCUACCCCAAAGCCUAGAAAGGUGCCUGCCACAUAGGAAAACGAAAUCCUCCCAUGAGUAAGUCUGGGGCAUCCUGCUUUUAAAAACCUUUUAUGGGACCAUAAAAUACCUCACCUCACCACCUUUAAGAAGUUGGCUUCAGGAAUGAGAGCAAACUGAAUUGCACGGAGCUGAAAACAAGCCCACAGACUCAUGACCUGAGCCAGGAGCAGACUCCAGAGCAAAGUGUUGUAGACAAGCUGGUACUUUACAUGCCUAAGAACACGGUCAUUUACAACCCGGAGGUACUUUAUUGCUAAUGAUCUUUGAAGUUAACAAGGUUUGCAGAAGCUUUUCAGCAUUAUUAUUACUAUUUACAUCAAUGGCAUUAGUGAUGUCCUUUAUUCUUCCAAGACUUAACACUGCUAAUUGGCAUCAGCAUAAACAGAGGUAUAAAUGCUAUCAUGCAACACAGGCGGAGCCAGCUCUGCAGCUUUGUGGGUUUAAUAUGGAAAUGUUUGCUAUCUAAUGAGGACACAAAACGUUAAUCUGCAGAACAAAUUGUAUUUAUAGAGAAACGAAUUAUCAUAUGCAAAUGUGACACACAUCACUUGCGAAAUUCCU
This is a long non-coding RNA of Herpailurus yagouaroundi (jaguarundi), 794 nucleotides long. RefSeq lists it as uncharacterized. The record is from RefSeq and is a predicted model, not a curated record. The transcript is spliced from 3 exons. NCBI's taxonomy places the organism in Eukaryota, Metazoa, Chordata, Mammalia, Carnivora, Felidae.